RNAcentral lists this ribosomal RNA (669 nucleotides) under uncultured Candidatus Saccharibacteria bacterium. RNAcentral describes it as "bacterial SSU rRNA". It matches the Rfam family "Bacterial small subunit ribosomal RNA", at positions 571 to 1251 of the family's 1533-position model. Lineage: Bacteria; Candidatus Saccharimonadota. The record is from RNAcentral.
GUAGGCGGUUUAAUAAGUGAAUAGUGAAACCUGGUGGCUCAACCAUACAGACUAUUAUUCAAACUGUUAAACUCGAGAAUGGUAGAGGUAACNUGGAAUUUCUAGUGUAGGAGUGAAAUCCGUAGAUAUUAGAAGGAACACCGAUGGCGUAGGCAGGUUACUGGGCCAUUUCUGACGCUAAGGCACGAAAGCGUGGGGAGCGAACCGGAUUAGAUACCCGGGUAGUCCACGCCGUAAACGAUGGAUACUAGCUGUUGGAGGUAUCGACCCCUUCAGUAGCGAAGCUAACGCGUUAAGUAUCCCGCCUGUGGAGUACGGCCGCAAGGCUAAAACAUAAAGGAAUUGACGGGGACCCGCACAAGCGGUGGAUUAUGUUCUUUAAUUCGAUGAUAACCGAAGAACCUUACCAGGGCUUGACAUCCAGGGAAGGUCUGCGAAAGUAGACUGUGCCUUUUGGAACCCUGUGACAGGUGAUGCAUGGCCGUCGUCAGCUCGUGUCGUGAGAUGUUAGGUUAAGUCCUUCAACGAGCGCAACCCUUGUGAAUAGUUGUAUUUUUCUAUUCAGACUGCCCCGGUAACGGGGAGGAAGGAGGGGGAUGAUGUCAGGUCAGUAUUUCCCUUACGUCCUGGGCUAGAAACGUAAUACAAUGGCUAGUACAAUGCGCAGCA